UCGGAUCCCGUCGUUCCCAACCUCCAGCACGCGCACGGGAAAAGAAAGAGGCCCGCCUCGCACACACCAACCGCCUCGCCUCGCCUCGCCUUCUCACCGCUCGUCGCCCUCACCGUCGGUCGCCGCCUGUCGCCGCCUCGGUCGCCCGUCGAAGCACCAUGGAUGCAGCUCCGCGACUCAGCUCAUCCAGACCGCUCGCCGCCUUGGCUGCCCCGCGCUCCGGGACUCAGCUCGCCCGGACCGCUCGCCGCCUCGGCUGCCCCGCGCUCCGGGACUCAGCUCGCCCCGACCGUUCGCUGUCCCCGCCGCUUGCCGACGCACUCGCCGCUGCUCAUGCCCGUCGGUCUUCACCUCGUCGGUCGCACCUCACCCCCCUGUGUUGCAAACGCUGGAAAAAAAGUUUCAACCGUGUAUAGAAAAGCUUCAACCGUGAAGAAAAAAAGCUUCAAUCAAAAAACUUCAACGAGGAAAAAGUUGCAAACGUUGACAGAAAAAUCUUCAACCGUAUAUGGAAAAAGUUUCAAACAUCACCCCGGCUGCAGCAUCUCGCGUGGUCACUCCUCAAAAAAGUUUUAACCGUGCAUAGAAAAGCUUCAACCGUUAAGAAAUAAAGCUUCAACCAAAUAUUUCAACGAGGGAAAAGUUGCAAACGUUGACAGAAAAAGCUUCAACCGUAUAUGAAAAAAGUUUCAACCGUCGUCCCGGCUGCAUCAUCUCGUGUGGUCACCUUCGGUCGUCGCCGUCAGGCGCAGCGGCUGCCGGUGGAGAAGCCGCAGCGUUCACCGACAACGCCUGAGGUUGCAUGGGGGAAGGGGGAGAGUAGGGAAGAAGAAGAAGAAGGAGAAAGGAGAGGGGGGAAGGGAGAGAGGGAGGAAGGAAGACGCGAUGAGCUUUAGAUCCAGAAGAUCGAACGAGACGUUUCCCUAGUUUAUUAGUGGCUGAUACCUGUCCGUUUCUUUAACAGAAUAUAUAGAUGAAGAACAGAGAGCUCACCCGAGAUGGCUGAUGAUCGCCGGAAUUUGGUGGCCCGCGGCUCGGGCUUGAUCUGACGAAGGGACAUGGCGAACGAUGAAUAGGACGUCGCGUCCGAAAGGUUUUCGUUGUCGGGAACGACUGGUUCGUCCUCGCAAUUCUCUGAGAACCCGCUGGAGUUUGCCGGAGUUUCAAGUUGGAUGAGGUCGUCGCUGUUUGCGAGCUCCGACUGCGUAUUCGAGAGGUUCAAGGGUUCAGGGAGUUCCGCACGAGCAAGACACAUCCAGAGGAAUAAGUGGAGCGGGGAGUGGCUCACCAGAGACCGUACUAUCUUCGUUGCCGCGAACGACGAACUCCGUCGAGCAAUUGCUCCCGGAGGAGAGGGAGGAAUAGAGUGGUUUUGCGUCUGGGGACAC
Molecule: long non-coding RNA, 1388 nt
Filed under: Hordeum vulgare
Lineage: Eukaryota; Viridiplantae; Streptophyta; Magnoliopsida; Poales; Poaceae
Description: long non-coding RNA (HVUL_LNC018302)
Source: RNAcentral